CCUACGGGGUGCAGCCGUGAGGAAUAUUGGUCGAUGGACGAGAGUCUGAACCAGCCAAGUAGCGUGAAGGAUGACUGCCCUAUGGGUUGUAAACUUCUUUUAUAUGGGAAUAAAAUGUUCCACGUGUGGGAUUUUGUAUGUACCAUAUGAAUAAGGAUCGGCUAACUCCGUGCCAGCAGCCGCGGUAAUACGGAGGAUCCGAGCGUUAUCCGGAUUUAUUGGGUUUAAAGGGAGCGUAGGUGGAUUGUUAAGUCAGUUGUGAAAGUUUGCGGCUCAACCGGAAAAUUGCAGUUGAAACUGGCAGUCUUGAGUACAGUAGAGGUGGGCGGAAUUCGUGGUGUAGCGGUGAAAUGCUUAGAUAUCACGAAGAACUCCGAUUGCGAAGGCAGUUCACUGGACUGCAACUGACACUGAGGCUCGAAAGUGUGGGUAUCAAACAGGAUUAGAUACCCUUGUAGU
RNAcentral lists this ribosomal RNA (459 nucleotides) under uncultured bacterium. Its description in RNAcentral is "partial 16S ribosomal RNA". It matches the Rfam family "Bacterial small subunit ribosomal RNA", at positions 338 to 794 of the family's 1533-position model. The record is from RNAcentral.